This 497-nucleotide ribosomal RNA is filed under the name uncultured bacterium. RNAcentral describes it as "partial 16S ribosomal RNA". It matches the Rfam family "Bacterial small subunit ribosomal RNA", at positions 28 to 507 of the family's 1533-position model. The record is from RNAcentral.
GACGAACGCUGGCGGCGUGCCUAAUACAUGCAAGUAGAACGCUGAAGAGAGGAGCUUACUCUUCUUGGAUGAGUUGCGAACGGGUGAGUAACGCGUAGGUAACCUGCCUUGUAGCGGGGGAUAACUAUUGGAAACGAUAGCUAAUACCGCAUAACAAUGGCUGACACAUGUAAUUUAUUUGAAAGGGGCAAUUGCUCCACUACAAGAUGGACCUGCGUUGUAUUAGUUAGUAGGUGAGGUAAUGGCUCACCUAGGCGACGAUACAUAGCUGACCUGAGAGGGUGGUCGGCCACCCUGGGACUGGGACACGGCCCAGACUCCUACGGGAGGCAGCAGUAGGGGAUCUUCGGCAAUGGGGGCAACGCUGACCGCGCAACGCCGCGUGAGUGAAGAAGGUUUUCGGGUCGUAAAGCUCUGUUGUAAGUCAAGAACGGGUGUGAGAGUGGAAAGUUCACACUGUGACGGUAGCUUACCAGAAAGGGACGGCUAACUACGUG